Molecule: long non-coding RNA, 279 nt
Filed under: Elaeis guineensis (African oil palm)
Lineage: Eukaryota; Viridiplantae; Streptophyta; Magnoliopsida; Arecales; Arecaceae
Description: long non-coding RNA (EGUI_LNC040739)
Source: RNAcentral
CUUAUCUACUAAGAUCGAUCAAUCCCUUCUAAGUAUAUACCCUACUCCUACAGUGAACCUACUACAGUCAAUAUACACGAUAAGGAUCCAAAUGGCUAAAAGAUCAUAUUUAUGUGCAGUCAAACUAUAGCAAUCUACUAUGGACAACCCAGACAUUGCAAGUCAAGGAGCCACUCACACCACUACAGCAUCGAGACGAUCAUCAAUGAGUAAGUAGACAUCUAUGUGAUCUCUCGUAUGGUCACGUUCAGUACCGAUAUUCUCUAACAACCAUCCACA